This 370-nucleotide ribosomal RNA is filed under the name uncultured bacterium. Its description in RNAcentral is "bacterial SSU rRNA". It matches the Rfam family "Bacterial small subunit ribosomal RNA", at positions 143 to 507 of the family's 1533-position model. The record is from RNAcentral.
UUAACGUAGACGAAAGUUACGCUAAUACCGCAUAUUCUGUGAGCAGGAAAGAGGGGGAUCGCAAGACCUCUUGCUUUAGGAGCGGCCGAUGUCGGAUUAGCUAGUUGGUGAGGUAAAGGCUCACCAAGGCGACGAUCCGUAGCGGGUCUGAGAGGAUGAUCCGCCACACUGGGACUGAGACACGGCCCAGACUCCUACGGGAGGCAGCAGUGGGGAAUUUUGGACAAUGGGCGCAAGCCUGAUCCAGCCAUGCCGCGUGAGUGAAGAAGGCCUUCGGGUUGUAAAGCUCUUUCGGUGGGGAAGAAAUUGCACAGGAUAAUACCUUGUGUAGAUGACGGUACCCGCAUAAGAAGCACCGGCUAACUACGUG